RNAcentral lists this long non-coding RNA (235 nucleotides) under Lathyrus oleraceus (garden pea). Its description in RNAcentral is "Pisum sativum (pea) long non-coding RNA (PSAT_LNC027846)". The record is from RNAcentral. Lineage: Eukaryota; Viridiplantae; Streptophyta; Magnoliopsida; Fabales; Fabaceae.
UUUGACUGAUGGAGGUGGUGGUGUGGGUUGACUAUGAAUGGAAGGUGACAAGGAGUCUAUGGUUUGUGACAUGUAUUUAGAGAUUGAUGAGGUUGUAUCCUGAGGUGACUUGUUGGCUGAGAAAUAUGCAGAGCUGAACUGAUGUAACUCAAGUGUAGUAAUUAAGGGUGAUUGGUGUGUGGGGUCAUGAGGUACAACUAACUCAAGUAAGUUACCAGUGGACACAACAAUAUCA